GAUGUCUUCGUCAAUGAAGUGCUUGUAAAGUUAGCACACGAAGCAACUUUAUACUAAGAAGGGUGCUAUUAACCAUGAUGAAGUUGAUCGUCAAAACUAUGCUUUAAUCUGCUAUCCACCUGAAUUUUGAGUCGAAAGAUUUAUGGGAGAAAAAUUAAAUUUUUAUACUAAAGUUAAGUGUAACAUAAUACAAUUAAGCAAAUUCAUUAUCAUACUAUUUAGUAGAACGGAGCAACAACAUGCAGAAGACUACAAGAGUUUAAACUGCGGGUCCCGCGUUGUUGUCCUGAAGCAAAGGAGCACUCUCGCCUGUUAAAGCAGCGCGUCUCUGUCUGUAGGGAAGGAGGAAGAGAAGAGCAGCGAAAAGGGUCAUGAGACCAGCAAUGAUAAAGGCGAAAAUGUGUUGCAAGGCAAAGAGGUGAAUAAACAUUUGUCCAAUACCGAUUGAAAGGAAAAGGUAUGCGCUGACGAGGGAAAGAGCCCAGUCAUGGAAUCCUAAAAUAGGAACAAGAUACAUGGCGGCAAAGAACCAGAUAAACACAUUAGAAAAGACGCGGCAACCAAUGCCGGUGCAGUGUAAAGCGGCAGAGAAGGCAUAAACAACGAACCAAAGAGACUUGCCAAAAACAAGUUUCGAGGGCAACUUCAUGCUAAUCAUCUCAACAAAACCAUUUCUCAAGCGAAGCGAUUGGCCGUACAUGGUGAAAGAAGAUGAGAAUAGACACAAGGAAAAGAAUGCAGUCCAGUACAGCUUCUCACGGGUAAAUGCCCAGACGGUAAACACGACAAAUACAUUGUACCAGAUAGAUGUGUGAAUAAUGGAGAAGGUAAAAUCGUUUACCUGAUCACCAAGCAUUAAAAGGGGCACAAUCAUCAAAAGGAAAGACAAGUAUUCGACCAAGAGGUAGCCACCAAGCAUGAACUUGUUGGCGAAAAAUGGAGUGGCAUGGUGAUUGUAAACCCAUUCAAGAGAUGGUUUGGUAAACAAAUGAGCCAAAAGGGUAGCAAAGCUUACACCCAAGGCUAAGACGAGCCCAAUAAUGUAUUUUGACUCACGAGUAAUUUGCAUAUUGAACAAUUAAGUAGUAGGCGAAAGAAUAAGAAGAAACUAGCGGUAAUAUUAAUAGUACGAAUU
This is a non-coding RNA of Schizosaccharomyces pombe (fission yeast), 1135 nucleotides long. NCBI's taxonomy places the organism in Eukaryota, Fungi, Ascomycota, Schizosaccharomycetes, Schizosaccharomycetales, Schizosaccharomycetaceae. The record is from the annotation of a GenBank genome assembly.